ACGCUAAGCAAUUCGGUUCGAAUGGACC
Molecule: small RNA, 28 nt
Filed under: Bombyx mori (domestic silkworm)
Lineage: Eukaryota; Metazoa; Arthropoda; Insecta; Lepidoptera; Bombycidae
Description: ovarian small RNA-4443
Source: RNAcentral